RNAcentral lists this ribosomal RNA (849 nucleotides) under Triticum aestivum (bread wheat). RNAcentral's name for it is "partial small subunit ribosomal RNA". Lineage: Eukaryota; Viridiplantae; Streptophyta; Magnoliopsida; Poales; Poaceae. The record is from RNAcentral.
AUGAAGAUUGAUAUUUCCAAAGCCUUUGAUACCUUGUCCUGGGAGUUCAUCAUUCAGAUAUUGAUAAGGAGAGCCUUUGGCUGGAGUUGGUGCUCUUGGGUCUGUGGCCUUCUGCGCACUGCGUCGUCUUCUGUGUUGGUCAACGGUGAGACUUGUGAGCCAUUCUCACUUGGCCAAGGUGUGAGACAGGGGGACCCGCUGUCCCCCGCGCUCUUCAUUCUUGCCAUGGACACUUUGCAAGCGAUGGUGCAUUGGGCAGACCAUAACAACCUGUUAUCGGACUUAGGUCUCACCCCCAACGUUCCAAGGGCUUCCUUCUUUGCAGAUGAUGCGGUUCUAUUUUUCAAACCUUACUCGACAGAUAUGGGGGUGAUCUCAGCCCUCCUGAAGCUGUUUGGAGAAGCGUCUGGUCUUCACAUCAAUCUGCAAAAGAGCACUAUCACGUGUGUCAGGGGUGAUGACUCCAUUUCUGCUAGUGUGGCUCGGCACUUUGCCUGUCGGUUGAGGCCGUUUCCGCUUCAGUAUAUUGGGCUGCCACUGUCAAUAUACAGAUUGAGGCGUCAAGACAUUUUGCCACUCGUCGACAAGUUCUCCAACAAGAUGAAGGGAUGGAAACCCAAGCUAAUGGCCCCUGCCGAUCGCUUGACACUCAUCCAAUCGGUACUCAUGGCUCUGCCAAUCCACUUCAUGUCAGUUCUGCCGUUGCCGGCAUGGGUGCUGAAAAUUAUUAACAGGUGGUGUCACGAAUUUUUAUGGAAAGGUGACAGUGAUAUCAAUGGCGGCCAUUGUCUCUCCUACCGUGGUCGAGGGUGUGCACGCCCAAGGAGUGUGGGGGUCUGGGCGUUUUGA